UACGUAGGGUGCGAGCGUUGUCCGGAAUUAUUGGGCGUAAAGGGCUCGUAGGCGGUUUGUCGCGUCGGGAGUGAAAACCAGGUGCUUAACACCUGGCUUGCUUUCGAUACGGGCAGACUAGAGGUAUGCAGGGGAGAACGGAAUUCCUGGUGUAGCGGUGAAAUGCGCAGAUAUCAGGAGGAACACCGGUGGCGAAGGCGGUGGUCUGGGCCGGCACUGACGCUGAGGAGCGAAAGCGUGGGUAGCAAACAGG
This 253-nucleotide ribosomal RNA is filed under the name uncultured bacterium. RNAcentral's name for it is "partial 16S ribosomal RNA". It matches the Rfam family "Bacterial small subunit ribosomal RNA", at positions 524 to 776 of the family's 1533-position model. The record is from RNAcentral.